GAUGAACGCUAGCGGCAGGCCUAACACAUGCAAGUCGAGGGGCAGCACAUAAAGUGGUUUACUACUUUUGGUGGCGACCGGCGGACGGGUGCGUAACGCGUAUGCAACCUGCCUCCAACAGGGGGAUAACGGAGAGAAAUUUCCACUAAUACCCCAUAAUAUCAGAAUCGGCAUCGGUUUUGGUUGAAAACUCCGGUGGUUGGAGAUGGGCAUGCGUUGUAUUAGAUGGUUGGUGAGGUAACGGCUCACCAAGUAAACGAUACAUAGGGGGACUGGGAGGUUAGCCCCCCACACGGGUACUUAGACACGGACCGGACUCCUACGGGAGGCAGCAGUGAGGAAUAUUGGUCAAUGGGGGCAACCCUGAACCAGCCAUGCCGCGUGCAGGAAGACGGCUCUAUGAGUUGUAAACUGCUUUUACAAGGGGAUAAAUCGGUGUACGUGUACACCGUUGAAGGUACCUUGGGAAUAAGGAUCGGCUAACUCCGUGCCAGCCGCCGCCGUAA
RNAcentral lists this ribosomal RNA (506 nucleotides) under uncultured bacterium. RNAcentral describes it as "partial 16S ribosomal RNA". It matches the Rfam family "Bacterial small subunit ribosomal RNA", at positions 28 to 523 of the family's 1533-position model. The record is from RNAcentral.